UAAGUACUUCCUCCGUCCCAAAAUUCUUGUCUUGAAUUUGUCUAGAUAUGAAUGUAUCUAGUCACGUUUUAGUAUUUUGAUACAUUCAUUUGUAAACAAAUCUAAGACAAGAAUUUUGGGACGGAGAGAGUACUAA
RNAcentral lists this microRNA precursor (136 nucleotides) under Hordeum vulgare. RNAcentral describes it as "microRNA MIR1122". It matches the Rfam family "MIR1120/MIR1122 microRNA precursor family". Lineage: Eukaryota; Viridiplantae; Streptophyta; Magnoliopsida; Poales; Poaceae. The record is from RNAcentral.